AAUCCAUGUUGCGGGUACUUCCUCAGGAGCUCCUUGAACCUUUCCCACAUCUCCAUCAGAGACUCCAAUUCCAACUGUAUAAAGGACGAGAUCUCAUUCCUAGGCUU
Small nucleolar RNA from Dioscorea cayenensis subsp. rotundata (Guinea yam), 107 nucleotides. The record is from RefSeq and is a predicted model, not a curated record. NCBI's taxonomy places the organism in Eukaryota, Viridiplantae, Streptophyta, Magnoliopsida, Dioscoreales, Dioscoreaceae.